GUUAGAGAGUUGUGCUUCAGGGCAGCUUGUCUCCUUGGCAACCGGGGCCAUGGGGAAGUCGGGCAUUUCUGUCAGUCAAGGCUGCAGAGGAGAAGAUAUCCAUACCAUGUUUGUGACAACAGAGAAGAGAGGAGCUGUAAACCUCUAGUGCAGCAUGAGAGCCAUGAGCAUUCAGCAAUUUACUCCAAAAUAAAGCAGUGGACUGAAGAAAAGGAGAAGAAAAGAAAGCAAAGGUUCUUCAUUUAGUUUUCCAUCCAGACCUCAUGAGGAGGAGAAAUUGGAAACAGAGACAUGUCUCUGGAGACCUGGAGGAAAUUAAAUACUGAAUUCAAUGGGCA
Molecule: non-coding RNA, 338 nt
Organism: Poecilia reticulata (guppy)
Lineage: Eukaryota; Metazoa; Chordata; Actinopteri; Cyprinodontiformes; Poeciliidae
Source: RefSeq, a predicted model, not a curated record